RNAcentral lists this ribosomal RNA (1482 nucleotides) under Triticum aestivum (bread wheat). RNAcentral's name for it is "partial small subunit ribosomal RNA". The record is from RNAcentral. Lineage: Eukaryota; Viridiplantae; Streptophyta; Magnoliopsida; Poales; Poaceae.
AUGGUUGGACGACGCCAGACUGCCAAGAGUACUCCUUCUAGUGGCCAUGAAGGGAGGAUGACUGAUCCCAAGUAUCCUGAGCUGACACCUCUCCUUGAGAUGGUGCACAGGAGGAGGGUUGAGAGGGAAGCGGUUGAGGCUGAAAUGGCGUCCAGAAAAAAGAGAGGGGCUGAGCUCAAGAAACCCACACAAGGUGGGGCUCCCGGGGAGGAAGAACAGAGCGAACUGAGAACUGUUCUGGAGUCGGCGUCACGUCGAUUGGGCAGCGGCGGUGGACAUGAUGUAAAAAGGGACAUGCUGGCACUGUUUGAGGCAUCAAUUAGGGUGGCUUCUAAGAGGCAAAGCAAGAUGACAGAUAUUCCGCAUUUUUACUUACCUGAGAAAGCCACCUUUGCUGAUCUCAUGAAACUAAAAAUGGAGAAGCUUCAGCGCUAUGAAAGUGUAAAAUCGUUCGACAUCGAAGGUCUAUCACCUGUGACGCCCCCCACAGAACUGGACACAUAUCAGAUUAUCGAUAUCACCCGUCCAAGUGACACUGACCCUGAAAAGGCAAUAUCAGUGGCCCAAAUUCUAUCCCGUGAAACAGACAAUUACUUUGCUGCAGUGCGGCCAACUCCUGAUCCUACAGCGGCUGGAGGGUUUUUUGUAUUCUCCAAUAUUAUUUUGCCAUGGUUCUUUGGAAAAUGUCAUCAAAUGUCUUGUAGUUCGAGAUAUGCGAAGAUAGAGAAUAUGCAGGUUUGUCGUGAUAGCAUAUACUUGUUGGUUGAAGAAAUCCUCCGCCUUGAUGAUGAGAACUGCAAGCAUAUUACUGGUUACAUGAUAUCGCUGCUCGAAAUAGGAAUGUUCUUGUUUGGAGAAUUUCCUAGAAUGCAAGGACCAGUUGAUCUACUCCAGGACAAUUUUGACUUGGAUCUCAUCAUUCAUUUGACAGCUGAAGUUCUGUUUGAUAUGAGAAACUGGUCGUAUCUCUCGAAGACGGGAUUUGCAUUUUAUCUCGGAAUGGUAGAAACAUGGUUAGAUGUGAUUGGGCACAAGGAAACGUUUCUGGCAGGUUGGAAGAAGAUGACUGCCGCGGUGACCAAAUUUGAAAAGAGUGGACACAAGCUGGACCUCCUUGGUGCCAAUGGUUAUUUCUCUUUGAGAAAACUGGUCGGGAACCGAUUGCAUCUUCUAAAGUUUGACGAAGAAUAUGUGAAGAGACUAAUAAUCAGAAAAUGUAGGCAACACAAGGGAAGAAUGGAAGCCUUGAAAGAAGAUACCAAUCAAGUUCAGUUGAAAGACCAUGAGGGAGAGAAUAAGAAUGGAGAGACGGUGGAGCCGGAAAUUGCUGAUGAUCUGGCUUGGAAAAAGGCUAAGAAAGAAUAUGAGUAUUGGUUGAGCUUGAUGGUUGAAGACAGAGAUAUGCUGAUCAAAGUUCUCUGUGAGCUGAAUGUGGAUCUGUUUGACAAGGAUCAGAGUGAAGUUCCCAGAGUUGUAUGGUAG